Molecule: ribosomal RNA, 261 nt
Filed under: uncultured archaeon
Lineage: Archaea
Description: partial 16S ribosomal RNA
Rfam family: Archaeal small subunit ribosomal RNA
Source: RNAcentral
CAGCCGUAAACAAUGUGCGUUAGGUGUGUCGGUAACCACGCGUUACUGAUGCACCGAAGAGAAAUCGUGAAACGCACCACCUGGGAAGUACGGUCGCAAGGCUGAAACUUAAAGGAAUUGGCGGGGGAGCACCACAACAGGUGGAGCCUGCGGUUUAAUUGGAUUCAACGCCGGACAUCUCACCGGAUAAGACAGCUGAAUGAUUGUCAAUCUGAAGGUUUUACAUGACUAGCUGAGAGGUGGUGCAUGGCGUCAGUGACU